RNAcentral lists this ribosomal RNA (554 nucleotides) under uncultured archaeon. RNAcentral's name for it is "bacterial SSU rRNA". It matches the Rfam family "Archaeal small subunit ribosomal RNA", at positions 325 to 879 of the family's 1478-position model. The record is from RNAcentral.
ACGGGGUGCAGCAGGCGCGAAAACUUUCCAAUGCACGCAAGUGUGAGAAGGAAAUCCAGAGUGCUUAAGAUUAAUCUUAGGCUUUUGCCAUGGGUAAAUACCAUGGAGAAUAAGUGGAGGGCAAUACCUGUGCCAGCCGCCGCGGUAACCCAGGAUCCACAAGUGGCAACCGCUUUUAUUUGGCCUAAAGCGUCCGUAGCUGGCUUUCUAAAUUACUUGUGAAAUCGUAGGGCUUAACCCUACGGAAUGCAGGUAAGACUGGAAAGCUCGAGAUCGGGAGACGUUAGGGGUAUUCAAAGGGGAGCGGUAAAAUGCGAGAAUCCUUUGAGGACCACCUGUGGCGAAGGCGCCUAACAAUAACGAGUCUGACUGUGAGGGACGAAAGCUAGGGGAGCGAACUGGAUUAGAUACCCAAGUAGUCCUAGCCCUAAACGCUGCGAGUUAGGUGUUGCAUAAUCUUCGGGAUUGUGCAGUAUCGUAGUGAAGACGUUAAACUCGCCGCCUGGGAAGUACGGCCGCAAGACUGAAACUUAAAGGAAUUGGCGGGGGAGCAC